AUACGAAGGUCCCAAGCGCUAUUCGGAAUCACUGGGCGUAAAGAGUACGUAGGCGGUUUGGUAAGUCAGGUGUGAAAUCCCGGAGCUCAACUCCGGAACUGCAUCCGAUACUGCCAGACUUGAGUAAUGGAGAGGCAGGUGGAAUUCUCGGUGUAGCAGUGAAAUGCGUGGAUAUCGAGAGGAAGACCAAUGGCGAAGGCAGCCUGCUGGACAUUUACUGACGCUGAGGUACGAAGGCUAGGGGAGCGAAAGGGAUUAGAUACCCUAGUAGUCC
This 274-nucleotide ribosomal RNA is filed under the name uncultured bacterium. RNAcentral describes it as "partial 16S ribosomal RNA". It matches the Rfam family "Bacterial small subunit ribosomal RNA", at positions 523 to 796 of the family's 1533-position model. The record is from RNAcentral.